This 21-nucleotide non-coding RNA is filed under the name Caenorhabditis elegans. The record is from RNAcentral. Lineage: Eukaryota; Metazoa; Nematoda; Chromadorea; Rhabditida; Rhabditidae.
UUCUUUAAGUACAUAAGUAUC